GAUAAGGAUAAUAAUAAAUUAAGACAAGCGAAAUUACAAAAAAAAUUUUAUUUUUCCAUAAUUUUCCGCCAUAAUUAUUGCAGAAGACAUAAAGGGGAGUCAAUUUUCGCUCCGUAUUCAAACAGAGGAGAGAAGUUUUCUGCUUUGCUUGUCAUGUAAAACACUCCUCGAUUGCAAAUUUUUUGCAAGUUUUCUUCAUUUCUGUGGUUUACAAAAGAAUUCAUCAAUCCAAAGCUCACUCCUUGGUUCCAGUUCUUCGCAGGAAAUUGUUUCGUUGAGUAUACAUUGACGCCUUUGAUACUCCAAACUCAUCAGCUCCAGCAGACAUGGAUCAAAGUGCUGCUGUUGAGGAGGUAGGGAAUUUGAGGAACAACCUUGAGCUUGCAAAAUCAGUCUCUGAUAAACAUCUUGAUCUUUUGAGGCCAUCUGCUCGAUACUAUUCAGUAUUUAAAGGGCAAGCACCAGAUGCCACGGAAAAAGGCAAGUAUACCCUUAUCAAAGAUGUAGAGGACUUCCAGACAGGGAUUUUUGACAAACCUCUUCCAUGCUUUGGCUGUGGGAUAGGAUGGUUCUCCUUCCUCUUAGGAUUUGUGUGCCCAUUGAUGUGGUACUAUGCUACAUUUCUUUAUUUUGGAAAUCACUACCGCAAAGAUCCUAGGGAGAGAGCAGGCCUUGCUGCUUCCGCAAUUGCUGCAAUGGCAUGCUCUGUUGUACUGCUGAUCAUAAUAGUUUUUAUUCUAUUUUCAACCUAAGCACCUAGAAUUCGAAGUAUGCUCCUCACACCUUUAUCCAUGUUGAGUUCAAAGGAAUUGCAUGCAAAUCAAAUAUUGAAUGCUUGGGCGGCAAUGUGGAAACUGUUGCCCCACAAGCAUGCUAUAUGAGAAACAGUACCGACCUGUCCCAUCUGCUGAGCAUCCUUGUAAAGACAACAGAUAUUGGAGAAAUGUUUUGUUUACAGGAAUUCAUACAAGAAAUUAUACCUGGCCUUUGAUAGAACCAUGAAAUUUGAGGCUAUUUUUAUUUGCUGACUCAGGUGACGGCUAACCGGUCGAAAUGACAACCAAGUGAAAUUGCUAGCUCUAUAAGAAUAACCUUCCGCCAGGUGCUGAUUAUAUGCUUGUUGGACCAAUGGAGGAAAGAAUUUGCAUUGACAUCUUAAUCUGUACUCCAGCGAGUCCAGGAAAGGUCUUGAAUCAAUCUUCCUCGGCGCCUUAUAACGAAUUUUUUUAAUACACCGGCGGAGUCUCAAUUAAUUAUAGUCUUUAAACAAUAAUCCAGCAGCAUAAAAUAGGCGGCUAACUUGCCCAAAUAAAUAAAUAAACAGAACAUGCGGCU
This is an RNA transcript of Theobroma umbraticum, 1335 nucleotides long. It is a transcript of the gene named 60S ribosomal L18a-like protein, with no coding region annotated. The record is from RefSeq and is a predicted model, not a curated record. NCBI's taxonomy places the organism in Eukaryota, Viridiplantae, Streptophyta, Magnoliopsida, Malvales, Malvaceae.